RNAcentral lists this ribosomal RNA (301 nucleotides) under uncultured bacterium. RNAcentral's name for it is "partial 16S ribosomal RNA". It matches the Rfam family "Bacterial small subunit ribosomal RNA", at positions 509 to 807 of the family's 1533-position model. The record is from RNAcentral.
CAGCAGCCGCGGUAAUACGAGGGGAGCUAGCGUUGUUCGGAAUUACUGGGCGUAAAGCGCGCGUAGGCGGCUUUUUAAGUCAGAGGUGAAAGCCCGGGGCUCAACCCCGGAAUUGCCUUUGAAACUGGAAAGCUAGAAUCUUGGAGAGGUCAGUGGAAUUCCGAGUGUAGAGGUGAAAUUCGUAGAUAUUCGGAAGAACACCAGUGGCGAAGGCGACUGACUGGACAAGUAUUGACGCUGAGGUGCGAAAGCGUGGGGAGCAAACAGGAUUAGAUACCCCGGUAGUCCCUGUCUCUUAUAC